This 481-nucleotide ribosomal RNA is filed under the name uncultured bacterium. RNAcentral's name for it is "partial 16S ribosomal RNA". It matches the Rfam family "Bacterial small subunit ribosomal RNA", at positions 30 to 506 of the family's 1533-position model. The record is from RNAcentral.
AUUGAACGCUGGCGGCAUGCCUUACACAUGCAAGUCGAACGGUAACAGGUCUUCGGAUGCUGACGAGUGGCGAACGGGUGAGUAAUACAUCGGAACGUGCCCGAUCGUGGGGGAUAACGGAGCGAAAGCUUUGCUAAUACCGCAUACGAUCUACGGAUGAAAGCAGGGGACCGCAAGGCCUUGCGCGGACGGAGCGGCCGAUGGCAGAUUAGGUAGUUGGUGGGAUAAAAGCUUACCAAGCCGACGAUCUGUAGCUGGCCUGAGAGGACGACCAGCCACACUGGGACUGAGACACGGCCCAGACUCCUACGGGAGGCAGCAGUGGGGAAUUUUGGACAAUGGGCGAAAGCCUGAUCCAGCCAUGCCGCGUGCAGGAUGAAGGCCUUCGGGUUGUAAACUGCUUUUGUACGGAACGAAAAGACUCUUUCUAAUAAAGAGGGUCCAUGACGGUACCGUAAGAAUAAGCACCGGCUAACUACGU